RNAcentral lists this ribosomal RNA (253 nucleotides) under uncultured bacterium. Its description in RNAcentral is "partial 16S ribosomal RNA". It matches the Rfam family "Bacterial small subunit ribosomal RNA", at positions 524 to 776 of the family's 1533-position model. The record is from RNAcentral.
UACGAAGGGGGCUAGCGUUGUUCGGAUUUACUGGGCGUAAAGCGCACGUAGGCGGAUCGUUAAGUCGGGGGUGAAAUCCUGGAGCUCAACUCCAGAACUGCCUUCGAUACUGGCGAUCUUGAGUCCGGAAGAGGUGAGUGGAACUCCUAGUGUAGAGGUGGAAUUCGUAGAUAUUAGGAAGAACACCAGUGGCGAAGGCGGCUCACUGGCCCGAAACUGACGCUCAUGCACGACAGCGUGGGGAUCAAACAGG